Molecule: ribosomal RNA, 421 nt
Filed under: uncultured bacterium
Lineage: Bacteria
Description: bacterial SSU rRNA
Rfam family: Bacterial small subunit ribosomal RNA
Source: RNAcentral
UAAGGAAUAUUGGUCAAUGGACGCAAGUCUGAACCAGCCAUGCCGCGUGAAGGAUGAAGGUCCUCUGGAUUGUAAACUUCUUUUAUCUGGGACGAAAACGGGAUUUUUAUCUCAAUUGCCGGUACCAGAGGAAUAAGCACCGGCUAACUCCGUGCCAGCAGCCGCGGUAAUCCGUAGGGGGCAAGCGUUGUCCGGAUUUACUGGGUGUAAAGGGCGCGCAGGCGGAAUGGAAAGUCAGUGGUGAAAUCCUACAGCUUAACUGUAGAACUGCCUUUGAUACUUUCAUUCUUGAGUUCGGGAGAGAGAGACGGAAUUCCAGGUGUAGUGGUGAAAUACGUAUAUAUCUGGAAGAACACCAGUUGCGAAGGCGGUCUCUUGGUCCGAUACUGACGCUGAGGCGCGAAAGCGGGGGGAGCAAACA